AUAUUAAUAAAUUAUCUUUCAUUGCCUCAUCCUCCUGGUGUCCUGAUGACUGCACAGCCCUCACCCCAGCACCUGUAACACUGGAUUCAUUGAACUCACCUAUUGAAACAUCUGCAUCCAGAUUGGACUGUCAAGUUGUGCUCUUACUCAUCUCUGUCAACCCUGUCUACCAUAAUCCUAAGCACAUUAGAACCACUAACUUGGUAAAUGAAUGAAUUAUUUUUCCACAUUCUGCCUAUAUUCUGCCCAAAUUCUAGUAAUACAGAUGCAAUUUCAGUAGAAAUAACAAUUCCCCAUUCAUGAGUAGUUGCAUUGCCAAAUAAAGUCUUCCUCUGGCUUCUCACUCACAGUCCAAGAAUUAAGCAGGCAAUGCUGAGGAUGGUAAAGAAGCUGUGAGACUCAAGACUAAUCCCGUUUCCAGACCUGCUUUCCCUGAAUACCCAAAACUUCACCUGGGAGUAACCCACCAGCUAAUCGACAGAAACAUGCAUUAUGUUCCAAGAAAAACAGGGUCUCUUAAAUUGGAAGCACCACACCACUUCAUAUUUAGAAAACCUAACUGAGCCUCACAUUUGGGAUUGGUGGACACAACUGGCAGAGAUCUCUACACAAAUGAGGUGGUGCCACCUGUAUCCUUGAUGGGGCCUCCUUCAGGGAAAGGAUUCCUGUGGGCCAUGUCCUCUGACCUGGCCUGAUUCAGUGGAGAAGUGGAUUGAACAACAUAAGAAGACAUCAGAAAGGUAAGACCCCAAGGUUCUGAGUCCCAGUCAGGCCCACCUCCGGAAGAAGGGGAGACUGAU
This 800-nucleotide long non-coding RNA is filed under the name Dasypus novemcinctus (nine-banded armadillo). RNAcentral describes it as "lncRNA (ENSDNOG00000050828.1)". The record is from RNAcentral. Lineage: Eukaryota; Metazoa; Chordata; Mammalia; Cingulata; Dasypodidae.